Molecule: unclassified non-coding RNA, 499 nt
Filed under: Rhizobium sp.
Lineage: Bacteria; Pseudomonadati; Pseudomonadota; Alphaproteobacteria; Hyphomicrobiales; Rhizobiaceae
Description: partial contains 16S-23S ribosomal RNA intergenic spacer and 23S ribosomal RNA
Source: RNAcentral
GAAGAGAAGAUUGAUCUGGAGGCUUCCAGGUGUCGGGUUUUGCCCUUUUGGGUUUGAUCUGGCGUCCGAGCCCAGUUCUGCUGAAACCAUGGAUGGCCUAGCCGGCCGGAUAUGGUGGAGGGACUGGAGGUAGGAAGGAAGCUUGUCGCUCUGGAUCGUUUGUUGUUCGUUGUCCGCAAGGACGUCGUCUGAUGAACGAUCGGAUUACCGUUGCCUGACCGCGCGGUAUCGGAUCCAAUCUCGAGAAGCUGGUCUUAAGAUGAGAUCGCAAGCGGGCUGCUCGGCGUAGCUCCAAUAAAGCGAUCUUAUCGAACACGUCGAUGGCAUCAUUAGAAAGCAUUGGUUGUAAAAGGUAACCUCUGCAUUGCUGGUAAGGAAUUCCAGACCCAGCAAAGAUGAUGAGCAUUGGCAAUGAGAACGAUUAAGUGUCGUAAGGGCAUUUGGUGGAUGCCUUGGCAUGCACAGGCGAUGAAGGACGUGAUACGCUGCGAAAAGCCGU